UCCGUCGGCGUCCCGAUAAGUUUCUUGUUUAAGCCCGAGGCUCAACUUCGGACAAGCAAGAAAAACUAUCAGGAUUGAGUCGGUUCGAGGUAACUGGAAUUCUCUGUGGAGGGGUGAAAUCCGUAGAUAUAGAGAGGAACGCCAAUCGCGAAGGCAGGUUACUAGGAUUUGACUGACGCUCAGGGACGAAAGCUUGGGUAGCAAAAG
This 207-nucleotide ribosomal RNA is filed under the name uncultured bacterium. RNAcentral's name for it is "partial 16S ribosomal RNA". It matches the Rfam family "Bacterial small subunit ribosomal RNA", at positions 568 to 774 of the family's 1533-position model. The record is from RNAcentral.